CACUGCAGCUCCGAAGGCAGCGGCGUUUCCAGGAGCAUUCCAGGCACUGACAUUGUUCAUUCCUUAGCCAUUUCAAAGCAGCUGCUGGAGGACCCAGAGAUGUGCCAUCCGGAACCCCAGGGGCAGCUUCUGAGGAGUGUCACCAUCUGCUCCCAUCCCCUUGUGCUUCAGCUCUGCUCAGGUGCCCUCAAUGGCUCUUCCCGUGCCCUUCCCAGCAGGAUGGCACCCUGUGUCUGGCGCCCCACUGCAGGAACCUCGUCUGAGCUCAGGUCCUUAUCUCGGUUGAUCUUCCCAAGUGAUCAUGAUCCCCAUCUCUGGCAGCAACACCAUCACUGCCUCCCAAGCAAAUAAAUAUUUUAAACCCA
Apus apus (common swift) is the source of this 365-nucleotide long non-coding RNA. RefSeq lists it as uncharacterized. Lineage: Eukaryota; Metazoa; Chordata; Aves; Apodiformes; Apodidae. The record is from RefSeq and is a predicted model, not a curated record. The transcript is spliced from 2 exons.